This is a long non-coding RNA of Bos taurus (domestic cattle), 731 nucleotides long. The record is from Ensembl. NCBI's taxonomy places the organism in Eukaryota, Metazoa, Chordata, Mammalia, Artiodactyla, Bovidae.
AGUUUCAUCUAGUGAAAGAAAAUGGAAAAGGAAGGAAAAAAAAGAAAGCAAGACCCAUUGAGCUGUUGAAUAGGCCAAAAAAUGAAGUGUAUUACAAAGCACUUUCAUUGUCUUCAAAGGACAACCUUUGUCCUCUGCCGGUUCUGUUAUUGACCAGCUGCUUAGUUAACUGUGGUAUCCAUCUGCCAGCCCCGAAGUCUUCGUUGGGAAAGAGGGAAGGUGCUGACCCUUCCCAGGAAGCGAUGGUGACAGGAGCUUCAAUUUCCUGAUCUGAAUGGUGGAGGCAGUGCCUUCUGGGUUUUGCUGGAUUAAUUGUGCAGGCAAAGUGAGUAAGUGCAGACAGGACCCUGGGGACCUGCAAGCUGAAUAUUCCACGCCUUUUUCUUUACUGCCUUAAGCAAGAGGAGAGAAUUAACGAAGAGUAAGAUACGCAUGCUUAGAGAAUUAACCAUUAUGUACAGGGAUGUACUCCACCAAGACCUCUUGAACUGCUGGUAAUUCCCAGCAAACUUCAGAAAAGACCAUCAUGUUGUUCAUAUCUUUAUCUUCAGCCUCUAUCCAGCUUCUCUUACAGGAAUCAACAGAUUGCCCGGCAAGGACUAAGUUAUUAAAUAUCCCCAAAGUCUUUGGUGAGUUUAUGGACCUGUCAAAGACAAAUGUACCUUCUGCCAUUCCAGUCACCAGGAAUGUGUCUGAGUUUUAAUGCACUGUCCCAGUAAGUUACCUCCUGU